RNAcentral lists this ribosomal RNA (1575 nucleotides) under uncultured compost bacterium. RNAcentral describes it as "bacterial SSU rRNA". It matches the Rfam family "Bacterial small subunit ribosomal RNA". The record is from RNAcentral.
UAACACAUGCAAGUCGAACGGACCAACGGAGAGCUUGCUCUCCUGCGGUCAGCGGCGGACGGGUGAGUAACACGUAGGCAACCUGCCUGUACGACCGGGAUAACUCCGGGAAACCGGAGCUAAUACCGGAUAGGAUUUCAGACCGCAUGGUUUGGAAUGGAAAGACCCUGUGUCACGUACAGAUGGGCCUGCGGCGCAUUAGCUAGUUGGUGGGGUAACGGCCUACCAAGGCGACGAUGCGUAGCCGACCUGAGAGGGUGAACGGCCACACUGGGACUGAGACACGGCCCAGACUCCUACGGGAGGCAGCAGUAGGGAAUCUUCCGCAAUGGACGAAAGUCUGACGGAGCAACGCCGCGUGAACGAAGAAGGUUUUCGGAUCGUAAAGUUCUGUUGGUUAGGGAAGAACCGCCGGGAUAACCUCCCGGUCUGACGGUACCUAACGAGAAAGCCCCGGCUAACUACGUGCCAGCAGCCGCGGUAAUACGUAGGGGGCAAGCGUUGUCCGGAAUUAUUGGGCGUAAAGCGCGCGCAGGCGGCUUCUUAAGUCAGGUGUGAAAGCCCACGGCUCAACCGUGGAGGGCCACUUGAAACUGGGAGGCUUGAGUGCAGGAGAGGAGAGUGGAAUUCCACGUGUAGCGGUGAAAUGCGUAGAGAUGUGGAGGAACACCUGUGGCGAAGGCGGCUCUCUGGCCUGUAACUGACGCUGAGGCGCGAAAGCGUGGGGAGCGAACAGGAUUAGAUACCCUGGUAGUCCACGCCGUAAACGAUGAGUGCUAGGUGUUGGGGUCUCCAAACCUCAGUGCCGCAGCUAACGCAAUAAGCACUCCGCCUGGGGAGUACGGCCGCAAGGCUGGAACUCAAAGGAAUUGACGGGGACCCGCACAAGCGGUGGAGCAUGUGGUUUAAUUCGAAGCAACGCGAAGAACCUUACCAGGGCUUGACAUCCCGCUGACCCCUCUAAGAGAUAGAGGCUUCCUUCGGGACAGCGGUGACAGGUGGUGCAUGGUUGUCGUCAGCUCGUGUCGUGAGAUGUGGGGUUAAGUCCCGCAACGAGCGCAACCCUUGUCCUUAGUUGCCAGCAAUACUCACCCCAUGAAAGUGACCGGAAUUCAAAGAGGGUUAUUCCGAUUACUUUCAUGGGGACCCGAGUGGUUGGGCACUCUAGGGAGACUGCCGUCGACAAGACGGAGGAAGGUGGGGAUGACGUCAAAUCAUCAUGCCCCUUAUGUCCUGGGCUACACACGUGCCACAAUGGAUGGAACAACGGGCAGCCAACUCGCGAGAGUGAGCCAAUCCCUUAAAACCAUUCUCAGUUCGGAUUGCAGGCUGCAACUCGCCUGCAUGAAGCCGGAAUCGCUAGUAAUCGCGGAUCAGCAUGCCGCGGUGAAUACGUUCCCGGGUCUUGUACACACCGCCCGUCACACCACGAGAGUUUGCAACACCCGAAGUCGGUGAGGUAACCUAAACUGCCCCAAAAAGUAUUACUUUUCGGGGACCCCAGUUGGGAGCCAGCCGCCGAAGGUGGGGCAGAUGAUUGGGGUGAAGUCGUAACAAGGUAUCCGUACCGGAAGG